Molecule: transfer-messenger RNA, 382 nt
Filed under: Phycisphaerae bacterium
Lineage: Bacteria; Pseudomonadati; Planctomycetota; Phycisphaerae
Rfam family: transfer-messenger RNA
About the family: Bacterial tmRNA, also known as 10Sa RNA or SsrA, is named for its dual tRNA and mRNA-like properties.
Source: RNAcentral
GGGGGCGAUCGGUUUCGACCGGAUGGCUGCGGUGAUGGUGGCAUGCCCAGGACGCACAGUUGGCCUGGUUAAAUACCUGUGCAAACAUUAACUGCUGACACCAACAGUGUUGCAGGCCGAGUCGGCUUCACCGCCGCCCCGGUAAUGGCUGCCUAAUUUAGGCGGUCUCGGCAUCGUGCGGACGCCCGCGACGCAUGAGCCGAAAAAGCGGGCUGGUCUUCGCAUUCGGCCGUUGAUGCGAGGAUGAGAAACAGACGGCUGGAAUCCAUCGCAGGGUGUCGAUCUUCGGCGAUGGAUUCGAGAUUAAAAGACCGACUAUGCAUGUAGAGGCCGUCAUCUGGGUUAUCUUGGGACGCGGGUUCAAUUCCCGCCGCCUCCAUUU